AAGGCAAAGGAUGUUCAACUUGAUAAAGUAAUGUUUAUUCCGGGCUUUUUCUUAUAUCUGUAUUCAACAAUAUAAAAUUGCAGGAUAGGUUUAUAAAAUUUCCGUAUAGCUAUAAUUACCAUUUGAUGUUGAUAUCUUGUUUCUUAUAUGAUUAGUCACACAAAGCGAGAGCCUUUUAGGUUUUCUUAUAUCUCUGUUGCUCAAAUGCCCGCGACUUCCACUCAUUAUUUUCUGUGCUCACAACUUGCUUUAUAUUGUGUAUAAAGCUGCUUCUUUGAAGAUCGAAGUUCACACUCUUCCACAAAGCA
RNAcentral lists this unclassified non-coding RNA (308 nucleotides) under Hevea brasiliensis (rubber tree). Lineage: Eukaryota; Viridiplantae; Streptophyta; Magnoliopsida; Malpighiales; Euphorbiaceae. The record is from RNAcentral.